CGGGAUUUGAGACUUUUAAACUUUAUACGUCAUCAAUAAUGUAUUACGAUGCUAAAAAAGCAAACUCUAGGAAUGCAUAUUCUAUGGACUCUCAGUACUUUUCCCAUGAAGCUGACGAGAGAAAGCACUCGGUAAUAAAUUUAUAUGAUAAAGUAGAAGCUUUGAAAUUGCAAGCUAACGGUAUUGGCUCAGAAUUAAGAAGACAGAAUGAAUGGAUCGAUACUCAUUCGGGAGACUUCGAAAAAGCCCGGAAUUUUCUUAAAAGUUCAAUUACUCGUGUAAAAAAAUUAUCAACAAAGGGAUGUGGAAUCUAUUGCUACUUAUUAGUAUUCUGUGUUUUCUUGUUUUUAGUUCUUUACCUUGUAAAA
Long non-coding RNA from Zophobas morio, 368 nucleotides. RefSeq lists it as uncharacterized. The transcript is spliced from 5 exons. NCBI's taxonomy places the organism in Eukaryota, Metazoa, Arthropoda, Insecta, Coleoptera, Tenebrionidae. The record is from RefSeq and is a predicted model, not a curated record.